AACGAACGCUGGCGGCAUGCCUAACACAUGCAAGUCGAACGAGCCCUUCGGGGCUUGUGGCGCACGCGUGCGAAAAGCGCGGGGAAACGCCCUUAGGUUCUCGAUAACUCCCCGGAAGAGGUGCUCAUAUCGCGUAAUCUCUUCGGUCCAAAGAUUUAUCGCCUCUGGGUGGGCCCGCGUUGGAUUUGCUAGUUGGUAGGGUAAAAGCCUACAACGGGGACAAUCGCUGGAUGUUCUGAGAGGGUGUUCAGCCACACUGGGACGGGGACACGGCCCAGACUCCUACGGAAGGCAGCAGUGGGGAUUAUUGGAAAUGGGGCCAAGGCCUAUUCCACCAAGGCCGGGGGAGCGAUGAAGGCCUUAGGGUUGUAAAGCUCUUUUACCCGGGAGGAUAAUGACAUUACCGGGAGAAUAAGCCCCGGCUAACUCCGU
This 432-nucleotide ribosomal RNA is filed under the name uncultured bacterium. Its description in RNAcentral is "partial 16S ribosomal RNA". It matches the Rfam family "Bacterial small subunit ribosomal RNA", at positions 29 to 506 of the family's 1533-position model. The record is from RNAcentral.